This is a long non-coding RNA of Haliotis rubra (blacklip abalone), 193 nucleotides long. RefSeq lists it as uncharacterized. Lineage: Eukaryota; Metazoa; Mollusca; Gastropoda; Lepetellida; Haliotidae. The record is from RefSeq and is a predicted model, not a curated record. The transcript has 2 exons.
ACUGGCCCGCUAGCCCCUGGCUAGUGAAAAUCCAUGGGGCAAGUAAAUCUCCACAAUCACUGGCCCGACUGGAUAGUGAAUUUUCAUGGGGUCAUUUUGUAAAUGUAUCAGUCUCUCCGACUUGUUAAGUUAUAAUCCACUUUUAAAACAUGCAAGAUUAUGGUCUGAUAACAAUAUUCAUCAUAUUAACAGC